RNAcentral lists this ribosomal RNA (425 nucleotides) under uncultured bacterium. RNAcentral describes it as "partial 16S ribosomal RNA". It matches the Rfam family "Bacterial small subunit ribosomal RNA", at positions 354 to 796 of the family's 1533-position model. The record is from RNAcentral.
GUGGGGAAUCUUGCGCAAUGGGCGAAAGCCUGACGCAGCCAUGCCGCGUGAAUGAUGAAGGUCUUAGGAUUGUAAAAUUCUUUCACCGGGGACGAUAAUGAAGGUACCCUGUGAGGAAGGAUCGGCUAACUUCGUGCCAGCAGCCGCGGUAAGACGAGGGAUCCUAGCGUUGCUCGGAAUCAUUGGGCGUAAAGAGGGCGUAGGUGGCUUGGUAAGUCAGGUGUGAAAGCCCAGGGCUCAACCCUGGCAGUGCAUUUGAUACUGCUGAGCUUGAGUGUCGGAGAGGUGACCGGAAUACCUGGUGUAGUGGUGAAAUACGUAGAUAUCAGGUGGAACACCGGAGGCGAAGGCGGGUAACUGGACGAACACUGACACUGAGGCCCGAAAGCGUGGGGAUCAAACAGGAUUAGAUACCCUAGUAGUCC